This 829-nucleotide ribosomal RNA is filed under the name Hypoglossum hypoglossoides. Its description in RNAcentral is "eukaryotic LSU rRNA". It matches the Rfam family "Eukaryotic large subunit ribosomal RNA", at positions 260 to 1147 of the family's 3401-position model. Lineage: Eukaryota; Rhodophyta; Florideophyceae; Ceramiales; Delesseriaceae. The record is from RNAcentral.
AUGAGUCGGAUAGCUUGGGAAUGCUGUCCUAAGAGGUGGUAAAUCUCACCUAAGGCUAAAUACUGGCAAGAGACCGAUAGCAAACAAGUACCGUGAGGGAAAGUUUAAAAGCACUUUGGAAAGAGAGUGAAAAGAACCUGAAACCGCUAGGGGGGAACCGAGUUGCGUGGAUAAGUUUGAGGAGAGUGUCGAUCAGUGGGUGAAACCGCGUACUCCGCACUUUUCCUCUUCCGUCAUGGGUUCAUGGAGGCAGAUAUUUGUGUCUCCGUGGACUGAGGGAAGUCCCUUUUACAGGUGACGAUGACGGCCUACUUUUAAUAUUGACGCGAAUCGACCCGUCUUGAAACACGGACCAAGGAGUCUAGCGUGUCUGCGAGUCAAAGGGUGUGAAAACCUGAGGGCGCAGUGAAAGCGAAUUACAUUUGUAGCAAAAUGGAUCAAUUUAAGGCGGCAUACGAUCGUUGAUUGUAAGUCCGACCUAGAGCAGAUAUGCUAGGACCCGAAAGAUGGUGAACUAUGCUUGAAUAGGGCGAAGCCAGAGGAAACUCUGGUGGAGGCUCGCAGCGGUGCUGACGUGCAAAUCGCUCGUCAAAUUUGAGUAUAGGGGCGAAAGACUAAUCGAACCAUCUAGUAGCUGGUUUCCUCCGAAGUUUCUCUCAGGAUAGCAGGCCCAAAUUAUGUUGUUGUGUGUGGUAAAGCGAAUGAUUAGCAUACUCGGGGGCAUUAAGUCUUCGGAUGAUUCUCAAACUUUAAAUGCGCACGGAUAUUGCCGCUUAAUUGGGCGAUAUCGUUAAAAACUUGGGCUUUGUGGGCCAUUUUUGGUAAGCAG